GCCUUCAUCGCGGGGAAAGCGGGGGAGAGCUGGAGGGGGAUUCUAUCGAGACGUUAAGCGCAAACUUCAAUAUCUGCACAGCAAUGAUUAGGGCAUGCCGUUAUGGCUUCCCAUGUCAUCAAAACUAAUUUUGAAACUAAGACGGGAGUUAGGAAACUUGAAGUAUAUUAAUACUGUAAUUCGAAAGAAGAUGGAUCAAUUCCAAGCUUGAGAAGCAAAUCAAAGCUUGAGAAGAAGCUCAAAUGGUAGGAAAACCAGCAUUGUCGUAUUUAGCAGCUCCCCUUGUAACCCCCAAAUCGUUCUGCAUGGUUAAAGGACCCUUUGGAUCAUAUUUUGGAAUGUGGGAGCACUGAAUGUCGGAAGGAAAAACAAAACUGUUGAACAAAUGGUUGUCCCUGUACAUAAUGCUGGGUGUAUGCCAUCCUAAGGAAACUGCAUUUGUUGGGUCACAGACCAUGAUUUCUGAAGAUUGAUAAAAUCAGUCUAUAUGGUAGUUGUGUUUCUUUGAUAUGCAUGGUUAUGAGAGUAUAUAGAUAGAAAUAUAAUAAAUUGAUGUAAGCUGCCUUGGGUGCAAAAAAGGGGAUACAAAUGCAAUACAAGAAGAAGAAAAGGAAGAGGAAGAAGAAGAAGAAGAAGAAGAAGAAGAACUUCAACCAGGAUAACUGGAAUAAACAUCCAUGGAAUAUUUAAUACAUCUCUCUAAACUGCAUCAUGAAUAUUCUUAAAUCCAAGAACAGUUGUAGAAGGUGUUCUGUGCAGAAGCUUUGUUAUGGAAUCACUAAGAAAGGGGCUUACACUUCAGGGGUGAGAUAUCCAUUGAAUUAAAAUAAAGCUCAGUUGCUGGAAAGCAAAAGAAAUAA
This is a long non-coding RNA of Varanus komodoensis (Komodo dragon), 860 nucleotides long. RefSeq lists it as uncharacterized. The record is from RefSeq and is a predicted model, not a curated record. The transcript has 2 exons. Lineage: Eukaryota; Metazoa; Chordata; Lepidosauria; Squamata; Varanidae.